GACGAACGCUGGCGGCGUGCCUAAUACAUGCAAGUCGAACGAGAAUUGCUUACACCGAGUGCUUGCACUCACCGUAAGGGAUUCGAGUGGCGGACGGGUGAGUAACACGUGGGUAACCUGCCUAUCAGAGGGGGAUAACACUUGGAAACAGGUGCUAAUACCGCAUAAUAUUGAAAAGCGCAUGCUUUUCAAUUAAAAGGCGCUUAUGGUGUCACUGGUAGAUGGACCCGCGGCGUAUUAGCUAGUUGGUGGGGUAACGGCCUACCAAGGCAAUGAUACGUAGCCGAGUUGAGAGACUGAUCGGCCACAAUGGGACUGAGACACGGCCCAAACUCCUACGGGAGGCAGCAGUAGGGAAUCUUCCACAAUGGACGCAAGUCUGAUGGAGCAACGCCGCGUGAGUGAAGAAGGUCUUCGGAUCGUAAAACCUCUGUUGUUAGAGAAG
RNAcentral lists this ribosomal RNA (445 nucleotides) under uncultured Lactobacillus sp. RNAcentral's name for it is "bacterial SSU rRNA". It matches the Rfam family "Bacterial small subunit ribosomal RNA", at positions 28 to 447 of the family's 1533-position model. Lineage: Bacteria; Bacillati; Bacillota; Bacilli; Lactobacillales; Lactobacillaceae. The record is from RNAcentral.